This 274-nucleotide ribosomal RNA is filed under the name uncultured bacterium. RNAcentral describes it as "partial 16S ribosomal RNA". It matches the Rfam family "Bacterial small subunit ribosomal RNA", at positions 523 to 796 of the family's 1533-position model. The record is from RNAcentral.
AUACGGAGGGUCCAAGCGUUAUCCGGAAUCAUUGGGUUUAAAGGGUCCGUAGGCGGACAAUUAAGUCAGAGGUGAAAUCCCACAGCUCAACUGUGGAACUGCCUUUGAUACUGGUUGUCUUGAAUUAUAGUGAAGUAGAUAGAAUAUGUAGUGUAGCGGUGAAAUGCAUAGAUAUUACAUAGAAUACCGAUUGCGAAGGCAGUCUACUAACUGUAUAUUGACGCUGAUGGACGAAAGCGUGGGGAGCGAACAGGAUUAGAAACCCUAGUAGUCC